GAACGCUGGCGGCGUGCUUAACACAUGCAAGUCGAACGAUGAAGAAGAGAACCGAAGCUUCGGCCGAAGUUCACUUCGGAUUAGUGGCAGACGGGUGAGUAACGCGUGAGCAACCUACCUCUUACAAAGGGAUAGCCAUGGGAAACCGUGAUUAAUACCAUAUGACACAUUCAUAAGGCAUCUUAAGAAUGUUAAAGCUACGGCGGUAAGAGAUGGGCUCGCGUCCCAUUAGCUAGUUGGUGAGGUAACGGCCCACCAAGGCGACGAUGGGUAACCGGCCUGAGAGGGUGAACGGUCGCAUUGGAACUGAGACACGGUCCAAACUCCUACGGGAGGCAGCAGUGGGGAAUAUUGCACAAUGGAGGAAACUCUGAUGCAGCGACGCCGCGUGAGCGAUGAAGGAAUUCGUUUCGUAAAGCUCUGUUCUAUGGGAAGAAAAGGACUGUACCAUAGGAGCAAGCCCCGGCUAAAUACGUGCCAGCCGCCGCGGUAA
RNAcentral lists this ribosomal RNA (493 nucleotides) under uncultured Eubacteriales bacterium. Its description in RNAcentral is "bacterial SSU rRNA". It matches the Rfam family "Bacterial small subunit ribosomal RNA", at positions 31 to 523 of the family's 1533-position model. Lineage: Bacteria; Bacillati; Bacillota; Clostridia; Eubacteriales. The record is from RNAcentral.